GAUGAACGCUAGCGACAGGCUUAACACAUGCAAGUCGAGGGGCAGCAUGAUUUGUAGCAAUACAGAUUGAUGGCGACCGGCGCACGGGUGAGUAACGCGUAUGCAACUUACCUAUCAGGGGGGGAUAGCCCGGCGAAAGUCGGAUUAAUACCCCAUAAAACAGGGGUCCCGCAUGGGAAUAUUUGUUAAAGAUUCAUCGCUGAUAGGUAGGCAUGCGUUCCAUUAGGCAGUUGGCGGGGUAACGGCCCACCAAACCGACGAUGGAUAGGGGUUCUGAGAGGAAGGUCCCCCACAUUGGUACUGAGACACGGACCAAACUCCUACGGGAGGCAGCAGUGAGGAAUAUUGGUCAAUGGCCGAGAGGCUGAACCAGCCAAGUCGCGUGAAGGAAGAAGGAUCUAUGGUUUGUAAACUUCUUUUAUAGGGGAAUAAAGUGGAGGACGUGUCCUUUUUUGUAUGUACCCUAUGAAUAAGCAUCGGCUAACUCCGUG
RNAcentral lists this ribosomal RNA (491 nucleotides) under uncultured bacterium. RNAcentral's name for it is "bacterial SSU rRNA". It matches the Rfam family "Bacterial small subunit ribosomal RNA", at positions 28 to 507 of the family's 1533-position model. The record is from RNAcentral.